AGGCUUCCUGGUUUCGAGGCAGUGAGGCGAGUGCCUGGCAUGGCUGCGGGGAGAGGCGUGCUGAGCUGUGUGCCAGCGUCCACGCCAGGCCCCUGUGGUGCUGAACCCUGAGGGCAGGGCUCGCCCUCUCUCAGACAAACUCUCCCUGGCCUUCUAGAGAAAAGCUUUGAGGCCUCCUGAAGAGUCGCUCUCAGGCUAUUUCCUUUAUGCAAGAAGAGAAUCUGCACAACUGUGGGCUUGCAGGGUGAGGCGGGAAUGUUGUCAAGUGACAAAUGUCCCUUCUGAUUUUAUUGACAGAACAUCCACAAGGCACAGAGGAUGAGGACGCCCUGGAGCCAGAGGCCCCCAGCCUGAAUGCAGACGGCAUGUGCCUCGAGGAGGGGGAAGAAGACGGACUCCUGGUCUCCCAGGCCGAAGACCACAGGACUUCCUCUGGUGGCUCUGAGGCCGGUGUCACCCAGCAGCCUCCCUGUACCACUGCUGCCCUGUCACCUGAGGUCGA
RNAcentral lists this long non-coding RNA (502 nucleotides) under Chinchilla lanigera (long-tailed chinchilla). RNAcentral's name for it is "lncRNA (ENSCLAG00000022911.1)". The record is from RNAcentral. Lineage: Eukaryota; Metazoa; Chordata; Mammalia; Rodentia; Chinchillidae.